Molecule: long non-coding RNA, 182 nt
Organism: Dreissena polymorpha
Lineage: Eukaryota; Metazoa; Mollusca; Bivalvia; Myida; Dreissenidae
Exons: 3
Source: RefSeq, a predicted model, not a curated record
AGACAGUCGUCAGGUAACACGGUCAAUAGAGACUUUACUAGCCUAAUACAUAUUCGCCGAGCAUGGCGAAAUAUGCGGCGCACCUUCAAAGAAACCAUUCAUGUUGUCGUCUUGUUUUUCUUCUUCAUUUUCGUCUUCGCGCUGAUCGCUUUUAAGAUAUUUAAUGUGAGACAGGACAUUAC